CGCCCCUCGUCUACCAGUAAAUGGGGGGUCGUGCCUGCUCAAUGAUUUAAAUAUUAAAUAGCAGCGGUAUCCUGACCGUUCGAAGGUAGUGUGAUUAGUCUAUUAAUUGUUGGCUAAUGAAUGGCUUGACGCGGUACUAUUGUCUCAGGCGCAAUAACUGGAAGUUAACUUGUAAGUGAAAAGGCUUACAUUAUUAAAAAAGACGAUAAGACCCCAUUGAGUUUUAGUUUAUUCAUCUUAAUUAUUGAUGUUAAUACUUUAGUUGGGGCAACUGAGAAACACUGAAAUUUCCCAUGCACAUAAUUAUUUAGAUCCAUUACGCUAGUGAGAAAAAGAUUAAAUUACCAUGGGGAUAACAGCAUAAUUUUUUUCUGGAGUACGUAUUUGGAAAGAAGUUUGUGACCUCGAUGUUGGACUAGGGAACCUUCUUGGUGUGAGUGUCUAAUGAAGUGGGUCUGUUCGACCCUUGAAUCCCU
RNAcentral lists this ribosomal RNA (476 nucleotides) under Tindaria soyoae. Its description in RNAcentral is "partial 16S ribosomal RNA". It matches the Rfam family "Bacterial large subunit ribosomal RNA", at positions 1816 to 2597 of the family's 2925-position model. The record is from RNAcentral. Lineage: Eukaryota; Metazoa; Mollusca; Bivalvia; Nuculanida sp.; Tindariidae.